Molecule: transfer RNA, 76 nt
Filed under: Clostridia bacterium
Lineage: Bacteria; Bacillati; Bacillota; Clostridia
Description: tRNA-Ile
Rfam family: tRNA
About the family: Transfer RNA (tRNA) molecules are approximately 80 nucleotides in length. Their secondary structure includes four short double-helical elements and three loops (D, anti-codon, and T loops).
Source: RNAcentral
GGGCGCAUCGUAUAACGGUCAGUGCAGGCGGCUCAUAACCGUCAUGGUGCAGGUUCGAUUCCUGCUGCGCCCACCA